Non-coding RNA from Hydra vulgaris (swiftwater hydra), 798 nucleotides. The record is from RefSeq and is a predicted model, not a curated record. Lineage: Eukaryota; Metazoa; Cnidaria; Hydrozoa; Anthoathecata; Hydridae.
GAAGGUCGGAUUCAUUUUUGCAGACCCAAAACUUCUCGCUCUCGUUGAAAAGACUCAAGAACUCUUCGUCGAUGCCACCUUUAAAACACGGCCUCACCACGAUAUCUUUUCUUAACUGUUGAACAUCAUUGUCAUCUACAAAGAUUACUCUGUCGCGGUGAUGCAUGUCUUAAUGACAUGCAAGGAGCAAGCACUCUACGGCCAGAUCAUGGAGCGGUUCAAAGCUUUGGUUGGAUCAGACUUCAAGCCAAAAAGUGUGAUGUCGGACUACGAACGGGCGAUCCUGAACACCAUGCAAACUGCCUUUCCGGAAUCGAGAGUGUCUGGAUGCAGAUUUCACUUCAGCCAAGCAGGUAAAUAAUAUUUUAACCAUUUAAUUGAUUUUUAACACGUUAUUUAUCUUUGUUAUUUACUUCUUUUUAGUUCUCCGGAAAGUGUGUGCUUGCAACAAGGAGGAUUUCUAUAAAAAUGUUGAGUUUAGGAAUCUGAUGCUCAAACACAUGGCCCUAAGCACUCUACCGGCGAACCAAAUGGUACCGGUAUUUCAACAGCUGAAGCAAGAUGUGCUCCACUUACAACAACUCAGGCUCCGGAAGCAAGUCCAGAUAAUGCACAGGAAUUACUUCGUAAAGUGGUGGUUCCAAGGCAUCGGGCCCCAGCUGAUCUCUACGUACGGUCUUGCACAUAAGACCAACAACGUCUGCGAAAGUCUCCAUAAGAAAAUGUCUUUGAAGCUGGCAAAGGCGUCGACAAUCUGGAGAUUCCUUUCAGAUCUGAGGAUGUUCGUCAUCGAGCCAG